CAGAAAGACAGGCAAACCACUGAUGAGCCAGUACCAGUAAACAGAAAGGAGGAAGAGCCAAGUGGAGCUGCUUGGAAGGAAGGCCCAGGUGGACACAGGAGGAAGAGGUCUACGCUGGAGGCAUUGUGUCCUGAGAAAUAUCAGAGAUAAGAAGUCCUGACAAACCAUCAUUUAUGUGCAAGCUGAUAUGUUUCAACAGCAUGGACAGACAUGAAAAGUGGGAAGAUGAAGCAGCCUUGCUGCCAGCUGCUCUGCAUUGGUCACUGCCUGCGAAAAAGGAUGGGCCCAUCAGCAGGGCUGAGCGCGGCCGUUCAUCACCCAGCACGGGCAGAGGUGGGCUUGGCAGUGACCUUGAGCACUGCACCAGCAGCACUUGGCCAAGCUGCUGAUAAUGUCCAUCCCU
Molecule: long non-coding RNA, 403 nt
Filed under: Serinus canaria (Common canary)
Lineage: Eukaryota; Metazoa; Chordata; Aves; Passeriformes; Fringillidae
Description: lncRNA (ENSSCAG00000002226.1)
Source: RNAcentral